AUGCGUUUUUGUGUUAGUUCUCGGAGAAGCUGUAGGCUUCUAUCACGAAGUUUUGAGGACGGGCUUCGGUUAGAUUGGCUCGUGGCAACAACGAUGAGGACUCCAGUUCUUCGGUCCUGUGGCAACCACGCAAAUUUCCGGGCUUCGCGAUCUCGGAAUCGGUGUUUUCCCUCAUAACUUCGCCUUGUUCGCUCAGUUUCGAUCCGAAUCAUUUUGAGUAGUAAUGUUGUUUU
This 233-nucleotide long non-coding RNA is filed under the name Arabidopsis lyrata. RNAcentral describes it as "long non-coding RNA (ALYR_LNC001968)". Lineage: Eukaryota; Viridiplantae; Streptophyta; Magnoliopsida; Brassicales; Brassicaceae. The record is from RNAcentral.